This 205-nucleotide long non-coding RNA is filed under the name Lathyrus oleraceus (garden pea). RNAcentral's name for it is "Pisum sativum (pea) long non-coding RNA (PSAT_LNC029163)". The record is from RNAcentral. Lineage: Eukaryota; Viridiplantae; Streptophyta; Magnoliopsida; Fabales; Fabaceae.
CUUUUAAUUGCAGUUUUAUUUUAUUUUCUUUUCCAGUUAAGCUUCCAGCAAUUAAAUAAUUUUUCGCACAAUAGUUUCUACACCGGAAACUAUUGUGUACCUUUCACCGGAUCUAACCUUACGUUAGAAUCUAGUUUUUUUAUUCCUUCGCUUUUAUUUUUCUGUUUGAUUGAAGAAUUCAAGAACAAAUCCAACCGGCCUGUGG